AUUGAACGCUGGCGGCAGGCUUAACACAUGCAAGUCGAGCGGAGAGAGGUAGCUUGCUACUGAUCUUAGCGGCGGACGGGUGAGUAAUGCUUAGGAAUCUGCCUAUUAGUGGGGGACAACAUUUCGAAAGGAAUGCUAAUACCGCAUACGUCCUACGGGAGAAAGCAGGGGAUCUUCGGACCUUGCGCUAAUAGAUGAGCCUAAGUCGGAUUAGCUAGUUGGUGGGGUAAAGGCCUACCAAGGCGACGAUCUGUAGCGGGUCUGAGAGGAUGAUUCGCCACACUGGGACUGAGACACGGCCCAGACUCCUACGGGAGGCAGCAGUGGGGAAUAUUGGACAAUGGGCGCAAGCCUGAUCCAGCCAUGCCGCGUGUGUGAAGAAGGCCUUAUGGUUGUAAAGCACUUUAAGCGAGGAGGAGGCUACUUUAGUUAAUACCUAGAGAUAGUGGACGUUACUCGCUGAAUAAGCACCGGCUAACUCUGUGCCAGCAGCAGCCGCCG
Molecule: ribosomal RNA, 501 nt
Filed under: uncultured bacterium
Lineage: Bacteria
Description: partial 16S ribosomal RNA
Rfam family: Bacterial small subunit ribosomal RNA
Source: RNAcentral